Molecule: ribosomal RNA, 492 nt
Filed under: uncultured bacterium
Lineage: Bacteria
Description: partial 16S ribosomal RNA
Rfam family: Bacterial small subunit ribosomal RNA
Source: RNAcentral
AGUGAACGCUGGCGGUAGGCCUAACACAUGCAAGUCGAACGGCAGCACAGUAAGAGCUUGCUCUUACGGGUGGCGCGUGGCGGACGGGUGAGGAAUACAUCGGAAUCUACUUUUUCGUGGGGGAUAACGUAGGGAAACUUACGCUAAUACCGCAUACGACCUACGGGUGAAAGCAGGGGAUCUUCGGACCUUGCGCGAUUGAAUGAGCCGAUGUCGGAUUAGCUAGUUGGCGGGGUAAAGGCCCACCAAGGCGACGAUCCGUAGCUGGUCUGAGAGGAUGAUCAGCCACACUGGAACUGAGACACGGUCCAGACUCCUACGGGAGGCAGCAGUGGGGAAUAUUGGAUAAUGGGCGAAAGCCUGAUCCAGCCAUACCGCGUGGGUGAAGAAGGCCUUCGGGUUGUAAAGCCCUUUUGUUGGGAAAGAAAAGCAGCAGGUUAAUACCCCGCUGUUCUGACGGUACCCAAAGAAUAAGCACCGGCUAACUUCGUG